AAAUGCGAUAAGUAGUGUGAAUUGCAGAAUUCAGUGAAUCAUCGAAUCUUUGAACGCACAUUGCGCCCUUUGGUAUUCCUUAGGGCAUGCCUGUUCGAGCGUCAUUUGUACCCUCAAGCUCUGCUUGGUGUUGGGUGUUUGUCCCCGUCUCCGCGCGUGGACUCGCCCCAAAGUGAUUGGCAGCCGGCGUACUGGUCCCGGAGCGCAGCACAUGUCGCGCAAACGAGUGCCUUGGUACGGCGGCGUCCAUAAGCCCCUCUCUCACGCUCUUGACCUCGGAUCAGGUAGGGAUACCCGCUGAACUUAAGC
Molecule: unclassified non-coding RNA, 309 nt
Filed under: plant metagenome
Description: partial contains 5.8S ribosomal RNA, internal transcribed spacer 2, and large subunit ribosomal RNA
Rfam family: 5.8S ribosomal RNA (bases 1-104)
Source: RNAcentral